UACCUGCAGCUCAAGUGGUGGCCGUUAUUAUUGGGCCUAAAACGUUCGUAGCCGGUUUAUUAAAUGCCUGGGUAAAUCGAGCCGCUUAACGGUUCGAAUUCCGGGUAGACUGAUAAACUUGAGACCGGGAGAGGCCAGAGGUACUCCUGGGGUAGAGGUGAAAUUCUGUAAUCCUAGGGGGACCACCAGUGGCGAAGGCGUCUAGCUAGAACGGGUCUGACGGUGAGGUACGAAGCCCUGGGGCGCAAACCGGAUUAGAUACCCGGGUAGUCCAGGGUGUAAACGCUGCUUGCUUGAUGUUAGUCGGGCUCCGAGCCCGAUUAGUGUCGGAGAGAAGUUGUUAAGCAAGCUGCCUGGGAAGUACGGUCGCAAGACUGAAACUUAAAGGAAUUGGCGGGGAGCACAGCAACGGGUGGAGCGUGCGGUUU
This 428-nucleotide ribosomal RNA is filed under the name uncultured archaeon. Its description in RNAcentral is "bacterial SSU rRNA". It matches the Rfam family "Archaeal small subunit ribosomal RNA", at positions 474 to 903 of the family's 1478-position model. The record is from RNAcentral.